This 484-nucleotide ribosomal RNA is filed under the name uncultured bacterium. RNAcentral describes it as "partial 16S ribosomal RNA". It matches the Rfam family "Bacterial small subunit ribosomal RNA", at positions 30 to 507 of the family's 1533-position model. The record is from RNAcentral.
AUUGAACGCUGGCGGCAGGCCUAACACAUGCAAGUCGAGCGGAUGAACGGGAAUUGCUCCUGGCUUCAGCUGCCGACGGGCGGGUGAUUCAUAGGUAGAUGCCCUGCAGUUGGGUCUAAGGUCAGGACGGAGGCCCGAAUACGGUAACCGCCCAUAGGGCGAACGGGGGGGAUCAUCGGACCUCACGCUCUUGGAUGAUCCUAGGUCGGAUUAGCUAGUUGGUGGGGUAAAGGCCUACCAAGGCGACGAUCCGUAACUGCUCUGAGAGGAUGAUCAGUCACACUGGAACUGAGACACGGUCCAGACUCCUACGGGAGGCAGCAGUGGGGAAUAUUGGACAAUGGGCGAAAGCCUGAUCCAGCCAUGCCGCGUGUGUGAAGAAGGUCUUCGGAUUGUAAAGCACUUUUAGUUGGGAGGAAGAGCAGUAAGUUAAUACCUUGCUGUUUUGACGGUACCAACAGAAUAAGCACCGGCUAACUUCGUG